CUCCCUCUGAAUUUUGGUCUUUUCUUUUAGCUUCUUUAAUGAUGGGGUCUGCUGGUUCGAUCGAAGAAUGGUCCACCUCUUUAGGGGCAAGUCCUUGGAACCCUGUCAAAGGACACAAAGGUUUUGAGGUCGAUUCAGCUUUCAAACCUAGUGACUUUGGUUCUGUGCUAGGGUUGAAAGAUUUGGGCCGGAUCUGAGCAUCAUACGGAGUUCCAUCAGAGUUUGAUUUGGAGCUCUCUG
RNAcentral lists this long non-coding RNA (240 nucleotides) under Elaeis guineensis (African oil palm). Its description in RNAcentral is "long non-coding RNA (EGUI_LNC007600)". The record is from RNAcentral. Lineage: Eukaryota; Viridiplantae; Streptophyta; Magnoliopsida; Arecales; Arecaceae.